Molecule: long non-coding RNA, 2745 nt
Organism: Eubalaena glacialis (North Atlantic right whale)
Lineage: Eukaryota; Metazoa; Chordata; Mammalia; Artiodactyla; Balaenidae
Exons: 4
Source: RefSeq, a predicted model, not a curated record
CGGCACCAGGCGGCGAAGCUCUCCGAGUUGCGCCAGCUCAGCUCGCGCUCCUUGGCGCCCACGUGCGCCAGCGCGUUGCGCACCACGGCGCUGGGGCUCAGCGGCUUGUAGCGGUAUAGAUCGUUUACCACGCGGCCGCGCCGGCCCUGGCUCGCGUCCGUCAGGAAGCUGUUGCUCACCUCCAGCCGGUGCAAAUGCACCACCUGGAAGUUGCCCACGUAGACAGCCCAGUGUGGGUACUGCGCCUGCGACACGAACUCCACCAGGUCGCCAGGCCUGCACUUGUUGAGCAGGUUCUCGGGCGUGUAGGUGCUCAGGGCCGCGGAGCCCGGCGCGAAGCUUUUCUGGUAGAUGCACUCGUCACGGUAGAACACAGAGCACUCCACCUCGUGCAGCCGCGGGUCAUAGGGCUGCGGCGAGGGCAGCGGCAGCCCCUCCCCGCCGUCGGGCAAACCGCCGCCACCGCCAUCCGGUCCCUGGGGCGGCGGCUGCGGCUCCACGUCCUCGUCGUCAUUGGAGAAGAUGUAGGAGACCCCGAUGCGGGGCCCGUCAUCCCGGUCCACGCCCGUCGGGUCGGCAGUGGGAACUUCCUUAUAACUUAGGUGGGUCAGUUUCUCCACCUGGUUGCCCAUCACGCUGCGGACACACGUUCACACCGCCGUGAGAGGAGAAAGCGAAACCACCACUAGGGUCAUUGGCACAGGUCCCCAGACAGGGGCCCAGACCACCUGUUGGGAGAGGAAGGCAAGGAAGCCAGAACCGAUUUCUUGCCAAAGGUCACAGAAGAGAAUUUUGUACUAGGACAGCUGGAGAAGUGCUUCCGUUUAGAGGGCUGGAUCAAGGCAACGCUUGCUUCUCCAAGGGUGGUUACCACCAGGCAGUACGGGCCUCACGCGGGAGCUGAGCUUGCUGGAAAUGCAGGAUCUCAGACUCCGCCCCUGAUUGGCUGAACCAGGAUCCGCUGUUUAACAAGAUCACCAGGUGAUUCUGAUAAAAGCCAGCAUGUCCUCUAGUGAGACUGACAAUUUUGUGAGCACGGAGCCAGGAAAAGGCAGCAAACCAAAGUGAACAGUCAGCUAAGUAGAGUUUGCUGGAGAUUUACGCAGAAACCUACCCACAGAAGCAGGGCUGAUGGAUUUAUAACUGACGGGAUAAUUUGUUCUUGUGUGCUAAGAUAAGGGUAAACAAAUUUCAUGCUGUGAUGUAAGCCCCUAUCUGCAGAAGUCAGGAGAGAUUCCCUGCCCUGUUGCUGAAUCGUGUGCUUGACAAAUUAUCCUCAGAGGCUUAUUUUAAGAGACUUUAUCUGGAGGUCUCACUGGGGCCCAAAUGUGAAAGGUGGAAGGACAUGCCUGGGGGCAGAGGAGGGGGACUCUUCUGUCCCUGCACAUCUGGAAGCUCAGAAAUGAAAGUGGCACGGGGCUAUAGUAUUUGGAAAAUCCUGGAGAGGAGCUGGGAUGGAAGCGAGUAACUGUGUGAUCCCUGAGCCUGAUUGAGGAAAUAAGCCAGAAAACGUGUGUUCGCAUUUCAGCCCAUCUUGGCCUUGGUCCAGCAGUCAUACCCACCCUAGACCUGCCUCUGCCCUUUAUUUUGUCAACAGCAGGUAAAGUGCUCUUAGUUUCCAGAGCUUCUCAUCACACUUCCUGGGAAGGAAGCCCUUACUGAGCUCUAGGAACUGGCUGGCUGUCUCCACCACACCUCUAGAGGACAAAGGCAGAGUCUUGAUAAUCUUUAUAUCCCUUAUGUGUAAGUUUUCUAUAUGUGCUAAAAAUGUUUACAGAAAUAAAAAAGAAAGCUGGAGCUCUGAGGGUGAACCUCUUUAAGAAAUACAGGAAUGUAACUUAAAUUUUGCAAAAUUAUCAUUAUCCUAUAAUAUUUACUAUUUGGUGUUCUACCAUUUUAAAAAUAAUUCUAAUUAAUCUAUAUGUAAUUAUUAUUAUCCCACUUUACAGAUAUUGAAACUGAGGGUCCAGAGCCAAGAAAACACAGCUCUCAUGUAAUGAAGCCAGGAUUCAAACCUACUACUGUUAGAUGUCCAACCCCACUUUGUCCAAGCUGAUGCUAGAGUCAUGAUUCCAGGCCCUCCGUGUUCCUUUGGGGACUUCCCUGAGCCUAGGCCUGGGCCCCAUGUUUCCCAUUUGUAAAACUGGGGGAGGCAUGGACUAGGAUCCCACAGGCUGCUUGUCAGUGGGUGUCAGAAGUGCAGGAGAAGAAGGUGAGCAGCCCGGGAUGCUGGGCUUUAAGGCUUGAGCAAUGUCAAGUGGGAGUCCCCAAUAAAUUGAGAUGUUGCCACACAGACUUGGGAAUGAGAAAAAUUAACAGAGAGCCAGUCACUAUCACAAGGGCUUCAAGGGGCAAUUCAACCCAGGGACCAGAAGUCCAGUCUAAGACUGAUGAGUGACCAGGCUGGUGGGAUAGAAAACAGGUUGAUCCCAAAGAUGUGUGUGGCCACAGUUGUGUGGAGAGUAAGGCCAGACACACAUGCAUGCACAUGUGCACACCCACACAUGGAUACAGCCAUCAAGAGAGCAUCUGUGUGCAGCCAGAGAUACAAGAGACAGGGUAAGAUUCUUUUAUGUUGCAGGUAAUAUCACCCCGACUCUCAGGCUUCCCCUACGUAGGACUUUGCAGAUUAUUAAAGUCUCUUAUUAGUCAUACUUUCCAUAUUCCUGGUGCAGACAGUGUGUAUAAUAUAUUACAUUUUAUGGAAAACAAAGGAUGAGAUAUGUAAUAUAUAUAUUCAUGUUU